UUUUUUUCUUAAUAUGUGUACACUUAUUUCAAGAAACUGAAAACAUGUCUAAAAUGGUAAAUUUUUGUAGUAAUCAACUUAAAAUCUCCACUUUUCUUCUACAACCCCUUUAAAUACGGCAAAAGUUGAACAUCAAAGUUACUAUCAACGCCAACUUGGCAACGGAGUUAAUAAAUGACAAUUUUCAGCUCUAAAAGUGACGUCAGCGGGAACACCAACUGCAGCGAAACGCGAAAGAAAAACAACGCCCUGAAAAUGGAAGUGGAAAUGAUCAGAGGGACUUUCCGCAACGACGAAAUGGCAAGAAUAAAAGGGGUGCCAACAGAAAUUGUGGGUCACUACAAUCCAGAGGGAGACGCGUAACUACCGAGUGUUGAUCGUCCCUCAAGUAUUUUUUGAUGUUAAAGUUUGUACUGACUGGAAAUGGGAACAAUAAAAGCAUGAAUGAAACAACAA
Molecule: long non-coding RNA, 456 nt
Organism: Zophobas morio
Lineage: Eukaryota; Metazoa; Arthropoda; Insecta; Coleoptera; Tenebrionidae
Exons: 2
Source: RefSeq, a predicted model, not a curated record